Molecule: ribosomal RNA, 456 nt
Filed under: uncultured bacterium
Lineage: Bacteria
Description: bacterial SSU rRNA
Rfam family: Bacterial small subunit ribosomal RNA
Source: RNAcentral
UACGGGAGGCAGCAGUGGGGAAUAUUGCACAAUGGGCGCAAGCCUGAUGCAGCCAUGCCGCGUGUAUGAAGAAGGCCUUCGGGUUGUAAAGUACUUUCAGUCGUGAGGAAGGUGUUAAGGUUAAUAACCUUAGCAAUUGACGUUAGCGACAGAAGAAGCACCGGCUAACUCCGUGCCAGCAGCCGCGGUAAUACGGAGGGUGCGAGCGUUAAUCGGAAUUACUGGGCGUAAAGGGCACGCAGGCGGUUAAUUAAGUUGGAUGUGAAAUCCCCGGGCUUAACCUGGGAAUGGCAUUCAAGACUGGUUAGCUAGAGUCUUGUAGAGGGGGUAGGAAUUCCAUGUGUAGCGGUGAAAUGCGUAGAGAUGUGGAGGAAUACCGGUGGCGAAGGCGGCCCCGUGGACCAAAGGACUGACGCUCAUGUGCGAAAGCGUGGGGAGGCAACAGGAUUAGAUACC